This 405-nucleotide ribosomal RNA is filed under the name uncultured prokaryote. RNAcentral describes it as "bacterial SSU rRNA". It matches the Rfam family "Bacterial small subunit ribosomal RNA", at positions 355 to 774 of the family's 1533-position model. The record is from RNAcentral.
UGGGGAAUAUUGGGCAAUGGGCGCAAGCCUGACCCAGCAACGCCGCGUGAGGGAAGAAGGUUUUCGGAUUGUAAACCUCUGUCGCAGAUGACGAAACAAAUGACGGUAAUCUGUGAGGAAGCCCCGGCUAACUACGUGCCAGCAGCCGCGGUAAUACGUAGGGGGCGAGCGUUGUCCGGAAUUACUGGGCGUAAAGGGAGCGUAGGCGGUCGAUUAAGUUGGAUGUGAAAUACCCGGGCUUAACUUGGGGGGUGCAUCCAAUACUGGUUGACUAGAGUACAGGAGAGGAAAGCGGAAUUCCUAGUGUAGCGGUGAAAUGCAUAGAUAUUAGGAGGAACAUCGGUGGCGAAGGCGGCUUUCUGGACUGACACUGACGCUGAGGUUCGAAAGCGUGGGGAGCAAACA